Molecule: ribosomal RNA, 482 nt
Filed under: uncultured bacterium
Lineage: Bacteria
Description: partial 16S ribosomal RNA
Rfam family: Bacterial small subunit ribosomal RNA
Source: RNAcentral
AUUGAACGCUGGCGGAAGGAGGGAAAAAGGAAAGUCGAAAGGGAACAGGCCGCAAGGGGCGGAGGAGGGGCGAAAGGGUGAGUAAUGAAUCGGAACGUGGCCAGGAGUGGGGGAUAACUACUCGAAAGAGGAGCUAAUACCGCAUACGAACGAUGGAUGAAAGAGGGGGAACGUAAGGCCUCGCGCGAUUGGAGCGGCCGAUGUCAGAUUAGGUAGUUGGUGGGGUAAAGGCUCACCAAGCCAACGAUCUGGAGCUGGGCUGAGAGGACGCCCAGCCACCCUGUGACUGAGCCACGGCCCAGACUCCUCCGGGAGGCAGCAGUGGGGAAUUUUGGACAAUGGGCGCAAGCCUGAUCCAGCAAUGCCGCUUGCAGGAAGAAGGCCUUCGCGUUUUACCCUUCUUUUUUCCUGAACGAAACGGCUCUGGUUCAUACCCGUGGCUAAUGACGGUACCGUAAGACUAAGCCCCGGCUCCCUACGUC